Molecule: ribosomal RNA, 429 nt
Filed under: Chloroflexota bacterium
Lineage: Bacteria; Bacillati; Chloroflexota
Description: Chloroflexi bacterium partial 16S ribosomal RNA
Rfam family: Bacterial small subunit ribosomal RNA
Source: RNAcentral
UGGGGAAUAUUGCACAAUGGGCGCAAGCCUGAUGCAGCCAUGCCGCGUGUAUGAAGAAGGCCUUCGGGUUGUAAAGUACUUUCAGUCGGGAGGAAGGUGGUAAGGUUAAUAACCUUAUCAAUUGACGUUACCGACAGAAGAAGCACCGGCUAACUCCGUGCCAGCAGCCGCGGUAAUACGGAGGGUGCAAGCGUUAAUCGGAAUUACUGGGCGUAAAGCGCACGCAGGCGGUUUGUUAAGUCAGAUGUGAAAUCCCCGGGCUCAACCUGGGAACUGCAUCUGAUAAUGGCAAGCUUGAGUCUCGUAGAGGGGGGUAGAAUUCCAGGUGUAGCGGUGAAAUGCGUAGAGAUCUGGAGGAAUACCGGUGGCGAAGGCGGCCCCCUGGACGAAGACUGACGCUCAGGUGCGAAAGCGUGGGGAGCAAACAGG